This 253-nucleotide ribosomal RNA is filed under the name uncultured bacterium. RNAcentral's name for it is "partial 16S ribosomal RNA". It matches the Rfam family "Bacterial small subunit ribosomal RNA", at positions 524 to 776 of the family's 1533-position model. The record is from RNAcentral.
UACAGAGGUCUCAAGCGUUGUUCGGAUUCAUUGGGCGUAAAGGGUGCGUAGGCGGCGCGGUAAGUCGGGUGUGAAAUCUCGGAGCUUAACUCCGAAACUGCAUUCGAUACUGCCGUGCUUGAGGACUGGAGAGGAGACUGGAAUUUACGGUGUAGCGGUGAAAUGCGUAGAUAUUGGGAGGAACACCAGUGGCGAAGGCGGCUCACUGGACCGGUACUGACGCUGAUGCGCGAAAGCGUGGGGAGCAAACGGG